Molecule: ribosomal RNA, 274 nt
Filed under: uncultured bacterium
Lineage: Bacteria
Description: partial 16S ribosomal RNA
Rfam family: Bacterial small subunit ribosomal RNA
Source: RNAcentral
AUACGGAGGGUGCAAGCGUUGUUCGGAAUUACUGGGCGGAAAGCGCGCGUAGGCGGUCUGUUAUGUCAUAUGUGAAAGUCCUCGGCUCAACCGGGGAAGUGCAUUUGAAACUGGCAGACUUGAGUACUGGAGGGGGUGGUGGAAUUCCCGGUGUAGAGGUGAAAUUCGUAGAUAUCGGGAGGAAUACCGGUGGCGAAGGCGACCACCUGGCCAGAUACUGACGCUGAGGUGCGAAAGCGUGGGGAGCAAACAGGAUUAGAAACCCUAGUAGUCC